This is a long non-coding RNA of Orcinus orca (killer whale), 1091 nucleotides long. RefSeq lists it as uncharacterized. The transcript has 2 exons. NCBI's taxonomy places the organism in Eukaryota, Metazoa, Chordata, Mammalia, Artiodactyla, Delphinidae. The record is from RefSeq and is a predicted model, not a curated record.
GUUCUGGGGAGGAUUAAAUGAGCUCAUGUGAUAUCCAGGUGACUGAGGCAGAGUCGGCUCGGGAUGAAUCUUUGCUUCGUUUUCAUUAGCUGCGGAGAAGACGAUGACAGCUUGGUGCCUCUCCAACUUUAAUAUGGGUUGCAUCCUUUCCUCUCCAACAAUCCUUGGGGUGCUGUUUUCAAUAUGUCCAUGCAGGAAUUCAAAAUAACAAAAAUGUUUUUGAAAAAUAAUGUCGUAGGUUGACAGAGUGAUUUAUAAAUUAUAGCAUACACUUAUGCUCUUAAUUCUUCCUCACAAUCCUGCUUAUCAUGGCUGGAAUUGCUGCUACACCUGUGGGGUCAGCUGGGGGCUGGCUGUAGUCAGGCCGGGGGCCUGACUGGGCCACAUGUCUCUUAUGCCCCAGCUAGUAACUGGGGCUUGUGCUCAUGGGGGUAGCAGGGCUCUGAGAGGGAGAGUAGAAGCAUCGUGGGGCCUAGCUCUGAGCUGGCACACCAUCGUUUCUGCUGCCUUCUAUUGGCCGUGGCAAGUCACCUAACUUCAAGGGAGGGGAAAUUAACUCUGCUUCUUGAUGGGAGAAGUUGGAAUGUCACAUUGCAACGAGUGAGGACACAAGGAGUCAACCUGGAGCCAUUAUUGCAAUUUGGGAUGGCGCUUGGUGCGUUCCUUGAGGAGAUCGUCGAAAACCAUUUUUCAAACAUCACAGGUUCCUAUAAAUCUCCACCUCUGCUUUGGCAGCCCCUAAAAAUUCCCACUCAGUUUUGCUGAGAGGACACUAGGUGACAGUGUUGUCUUUCCAAAUGAGUAGUUCCGUUACCGACAUUACAUUGCUCCCUGUACAUUAUUUAUAAGGUUUCUCUGUUUUUAUGUGCAAAAUAAUUCUAUUUUGAGAAAUACAUUGUACAGGCCUCUUUUUUUUUCUUUCACACACCCUAGACAUGUCAUAGAGGCAGUAAAUGUGUCCAAAUUUUUGAGAAAUUGGAACAAUCAAGACUUACCUGUAUGGAAUACUGUUAAUGAUGUCAAUUCCCGCUACAGUACUUUUCAUCUGAGACACUUAGUGUCUGUUAACAGAUUAAAGGUAGUAAAAGAUG